This 468-nucleotide ribosomal RNA is filed under the name uncultured bacterium. RNAcentral describes it as "partial 16S ribosomal RNA". It matches the Rfam family "Bacterial small subunit ribosomal RNA", at positions 28 to 507 of the family's 1533-position model. The record is from RNAcentral.
GACGAACGCUGGCGGCGUGCUUAACACAUGCAAGUCGAACGGAAAGGCCCUGCUUUUGUGGGAUGCUCGAGUGGCGAACGGGUGAGUAACACGUGAGUAACCUGCCCUUGACUUUGGGAUAACUUCAGGAAACUGGGGCUAAUACCGGAUAGGAGCUCCUGCUGCAUGGUGGGGGUUGGAAAGUUUCGGCGGUUGGGGAUGGACUCGCGGCUUAUCAGCUUGUUAGUGGGGUAGUGGCUUACCAAGGCUUUGACGGGUAGCCGGCCUGAGAGGGUGACCGGCCACAUUGGGACUGAGAUACGGCCCAGACUCCUACGGGAGGCAGCAGUGGGGAAUAUUGCACAAUGGGCGGAAGCCUGAUGCAGCAACGCCGCGUGCGGGAUGACGGCCUUCGGGUUGUAAACCGCUUUCGCCUGUGACGAAGCGUGAGUGACGGUAAUGGGUAAAGAAGCACCGGCUAACUACGUG